Molecule: long non-coding RNA, 850 nt
Organism: Rhineura floridana
Lineage: Eukaryota; Metazoa; Chordata; Lepidosauria; Squamata; Rhineuridae
Exons: 3
Source: RefSeq, a predicted model, not a curated record
AGGGGCUUCAAAAAUGAGUCAAGUUUAGUUGGACACAGCUCAGAUUUCUGAGGCAGGGGUGGUGGAAUGGGAAGCAGCAUGCCCAGAGCUAGCCACCACCAGCUGGAUUGCUUUGGUGCUGACAUCCUAGACAAGCUGGACAAUCCUUUGUGAAGCUUGCUCUUUGAGGGAAAGUUUAGUAAGGACAAAGCUGGCCUGGCCUCUUCUAACCAGCUUGGCUGCUGCUAACUGAUGCUGUCCUUAAGGCCUGCCUCCUUCCAAACUGCCUGCCUUUGGCACCAUCUCUGCUGCCCAGGGGUUUGGCCAGCUGAAGGCUCGUUCAUCAUUGUCUGCCCCUUCAAUGGAAAGUGGAGGGUCAGUUUUAAAAGGAUCCAUGUUACAAGCUUUCCUAAAUACAUCAAUAGCUCCCUAAUGGAAUUGGGACUGUUGUCACUCAGACCACCCAAGUGUUCUGGCAAGCAAAUGUGCUUCAGAUACAUAUUGCAGGAACAGGGCAUGGACAACUUGAAACCCACCACAGAGUCCUUCAGAUUGUGAAAUAAUGAAGGGCAGACCAGAUGGAGAGGGCCUGGUAUUGCAGGUGCUUAAUUAUAAGACCCUUUUGGAAUCAGUCCAAUGCAAACUUGACAUUUUGAAGUAUUCAUGACUCAUUUAUAAUAUUUUUGUUGUAUUCCAGCUUUCAAACAAAGUGAUGAUUUUGCCGGCACAUGAAUGAUAAAACAUUUGUAAUAAAAAAAAUUUAAUCCAUCCCACAGCACAACAAAAACAAUAUAUGUGUGUAUGUAUAUUUGCUUAUGCUAUGUAUUUAAAAUAUCAUGCACAAAACUCCAGAAAAUAAAGAAACUGGUUC